CCUAUCCCUCGUGUGCCUUGCUCCCACGACUAUCCCACCUACAUGCACACACCACACAAACAACACACACCAUACCCUACCACACACACACACUAUAUACACACACCAUAGCCCUACCACACAUACACACACACCACAGACACAUAUGCACAUACCAUACGCCCCCCUCAACACAGCACUCUGCAAACACGAAAGUGGACGUAUAGGGUGUGAUGCCUGCCCGGUGCUGGAAGGUUAAUUGAUGGGGUUAGCGUAAGCGAAGCUCUUGAUCGAAGCCCCAGUAAACGGCGGCCGUAACAAUAACGGUCCUAAGGUAGCGAAAUUCCUUGUCGGGUAAGUUCC
This 342-nucleotide ribosomal RNA is filed under the name uncultured bacterium. RNAcentral describes it as "bacterial LSU rRNA". The stretch from base 92 to 342 matches the Rfam family "Bacterial large subunit ribosomal RNA", at positions 1799 to 1984 of the family's 2925-position model. The record is from RNAcentral.